CGGGGGUGAGUGCAUGAUGGGCACAGAGUCUCUUUUGGGGUGAUGAAAAGGUUUUGAAACUGGAAAAAGUUGAUGCUUACACAACAUUGUGAAUUAUUAAAUGUGGCUAAAUUGUACACUUUCAAAUGGUUAAAAUAGUAACUUUUAUGUUGUGUGUAUUUUACUAUGAUUAACCUGCCUAGGUGAUUCAUUGUGGGGACAAUUUUGAGAACCACUGAAUUAGAGCAUUCAUUUAUGCUUAACUCUGCUGUGGAGACCUGAAGAAAUGUCAAAUUCCUGUUUGAGAUAAUCAUUACAACUGGCUGGCGUCAAUGAGUUUACUGUAUCAUGUCAUUUCCAAUGGUUCCAAACUUCUGUUUUGAAUUUGCAUAUAAUGAAAUUCACUCUUCUCAGGAAGAAUUUCUGCAAGUUCUGACAAACACAGAGUCUGUGUUUGGAAAACGCAUGUGUGAAUUCCAUCCCUGCCCAUUUCCCCUGAGCUGUCUCCGUGGCCAUACACUUCCUUGGUCUGACUCGUUUUCUCUCUCUACAGUUUUGUCUUUUCCAGAACAGCAGCAGAUCGAGUGCAUUACAACUACGAUGGAUCCCUGUGCUGAACUCAUGUGGUGCUUGGGUUUAUGGAACAGAAAUGUAAUUGAAACACCGCGAGUGCAGGAGGCACAGUCGUCUCUAGUGGAAAAGUGCAGGAAUCCUCUGGUCUCUGGGCUGCACAAGACUUCCUUCUAUCUGUAAGUCCCCAAUAAACUGCAUUUGUGC
This is a long non-coding RNA of Heterocephalus glaber (naked mole-rat), 756 nucleotides long. NCBI's taxonomy places the organism in Eukaryota, Metazoa, Chordata, Mammalia, Rodentia, Bathyergidae. The record is from Ensembl.